GGCGGGUUUAAUUAAAUGAAUGGGUGGGUCGUCUGGUCCAAUCAUAACAUGCCACGUGUUACUAAAAAUUCUGGAAAGGUGUUUUAACAGCUGAGGGAUAUAUAUGGCCCUAAUGUAUAACGGUGGGGACAUAUUUGAAAAAAAACUCAAACGGAGGAUAAAUAUGGCCUAUUUGUACAAGGAUAUAUUUGACCCUUAACCGUAUUGAAAAUUAAAUCUCAACACAUGGUGGCACUAUAUAUA
RNAcentral lists this long non-coding RNA (243 nucleotides) under Nicotiana benthamiana. RNAcentral's name for it is "long non-coding RNA (NBEN_LNC001140)". The record is from RNAcentral. Lineage: Eukaryota; Viridiplantae; Streptophyta; Magnoliopsida; Solanales; Solanaceae.